Molecule: ribosomal RNA, 464 nt
Filed under: uncultured archaeon
Lineage: Archaea
Description: bacterial SSU rRNA
Rfam family: Archaeal small subunit ribosomal RNA
Source: RNAcentral
GGAUAACCUACCCUUAGGACCGGGAUAACCCUGGGAAACUGGGGAUAAUACUGGAUAGGCAAUUUUUCCUGUAAUGGUUUUUUGUUUAAAUGUUUUUUCGCCUAAGGAUGGGUCUGCGGCCGAUUAGGUAGUUGGUUAGGUAAUGGCUUACCAAGCCGUUGAUCGGUACGGGUUGUGAGAGCAAGAGCCCGGAGAUGGAACCUGAGACAAGGUUCCAGGCCCUACGGGGUGCAGCAGGCGCGAAACCUCCGCAAUGUGAGAAAUCGCGACGGGGGGAUCCCAAGUGCCAUUCUUAACGGGAUGGCUUUUCAUUAGUGUAAAGAGCUUUUGGAAUAAGAGCUGGGCAAGACCGGUGCCAGCCGCCGCGGUAACACCGGCAGCUCUAGUGGUAGCAAUUUUUAUUGGGCCUAAAGCGUCCGUAGCCGGUUUAAUAAGUCUCUGGUGAAAUCUUGCAGCUUAACUGU